This 506-nucleotide ribosomal RNA is filed under the name uncultured bacterium. RNAcentral describes it as "partial 16S ribosomal RNA". It matches the Rfam family "Bacterial small subunit ribosomal RNA", at positions 29 to 523 of the family's 1533-position model. The record is from RNAcentral.
AGUGAACGCUGGCGGUAGGCCUAACUCAUGCAAGUCGAACGGCAGCACAGGAGAGCUUGCUCUCUGGGUGGCGAGUGGCGGACGGGUGAGGAAUACAUCGGAAUCUACUUUUUCGUGGGGGAUAACGUAGGGAAACUUACGCUAAUACCGCAUACGACCUACGGGUGAAAGCAGGGGAUCUUCGGACCUUGCGCGAUUGAAUGAGCCGAUGUCGGAUUAGCUAGUUGGCGGGGUAAAGGCCCACCAAGGCGACGAUCCGUAGCUGGUCUGAGAGGAUGAUCAGCCACACUGGAACUGAGACACGGACCAGACUCCUACGGGAGGCAGCAGUGGGGAAUAUUGGACAAUGGGCGCAAGCCUGAUCCAGCCAUACCGCGUGGGUGAAGAAGGCCUUCGGGUUGUAAAGCCCUUUUGUUGGGAAAGAAAUCCAGCUGGUUAAUACCCGGUUGGGAUGACGGUACCCAAAGAAUAAGCACCGGCUAACUUCGUGCCAGCCGCCGCAGUAA